This 623-nucleotide ribosomal RNA is filed under the name uncultured archaeon. RNAcentral describes it as "bacterial SSU rRNA". It matches the Rfam family "Archaeal small subunit ribosomal RNA", at positions 146 to 774 of the family's 1478-position model. The record is from RNAcentral.
AUAAUACCCUAUAGAUUACAGAUGCUGGAAUGCUCUGUAGUCCAAAGUUCCGGCGCCUCAGGAUGGAUCUGCGGCCGAUUAGGUUGUUGUUGGGGUAAUGGCCCAACAAGCCAGUGAUCGGUACGGGUUGUGGGAGCAAGAGCCCGGAGUUGGAUUCUGAGACACGAAUCCAGGCCCUACGGGGCGCAGCAGGCGCGAAAACUUUACAAUGCGGGCAACCGUGAUAAGGGAACCUCGAGUGCCUGUAUAUGCGGGCUGUCCAGGUGUCUAAAACACACCUGAAGAAAGGGCCGGGCAAGACCGGUGCCAGCCGCCGCGGUAAUACCGGCGGCUCGAGUGGUGGCCACUUUUAUUGGGCUUAAAGCGUUCGUAGCUGGGUUGUUAAGUCUCUUGGGAAAUCUGGCAGCUUAACUGUCAGGCGUCUAAGGGAUACUGGCAAUCUUGGGACCGGGAGAGGUGAGGGGUACUUCGGGGGUAGGAGUGAAAUCCUGUAAUCCUCGAGGGACCACCUGUGGCGAAGGCGCCUCACCAGAACGGCUUCGACAGUGAGGGACGAAAGCUGGGGGAGCAAACCGGAUUAAAUACCCGGGUAGUCCCAGCCGUAAACGAUGUGCGUUAGGUGU